AAAGUUUGACAGACAAUCGCUGGCGGCCCUUUGAGGCUGCGAGAGGAAAGUCCGGGCUCCAUAGGGCGGGAUGCUGGAUAACGUCCAGUCAGCGCGAGCUGAAGGCUAGUGCCACAGAAACGGACCGCCGAUGGCGCACUGACGCUUUGCGUCGGCAAGCACAGGCAAGGGUGGAACCGUGGUGUAAGAGACCACGAGGAACUAUGGUGACAUCGUUCCUGGUAAACCCCAUUUGGAGCAAGACCUAAUGGAACGCAGUCCUUUCGGGGACAGCCUUUGCCCGAGGUGCGUUCGGGUUGGUCGCUUGAGCCAUACAGCAAUGUAUGGCCUAGAUAGAUGAUUGUCGCUUCAACGGUGGGAGGGUGGCACCCGUUACGACCACUGGAAGCACAGAACCCGGCUUACGGCAAACUUUCUUU
RNAcentral lists this RNase P RNA (419 nucleotides) under Paenibacillus sp. P25. RNAcentral's name for it is "RNase P RNA component class A". It matches the Rfam family "Bacterial RNase P class A". Rfam says of the family: Ribonuclease P (RNase P) is a ubiquitous endoribonuclease, found in archaea, bacteria and eukarya as well as chloroplasts and mitochondria. Lineage: Bacteria; Bacillati; Bacillota; Bacilli; Caryophanales; Paenibacillaceae. The record is from RNAcentral.